CCUACGGGGGGCAGCAGUGGGGAAUAUUGGACAAUGGGGGGAACCCUGAUCCAGCCAUGCCGCGUGUGUGAAGAAGGCCCUCGGGUUGUAAAGCACUUUCAGUGAGGAAGAACGCCUGGUGGUUAAUACCCAUCAGGAAAGACAUCACUCACAGAAGAAGCACCGGCUAACUCCGUGCCAGCAGCCGCGGUAAUACGGAGGGUGCGAGCGUUAAUCGGAAUUACUGGGCGUAAAGCGCGCGUAGGUGGCUUGAUAAGCCGGUUGUGAGAGCCCCGGGCUCAACCUGGGAACGGCAUCCGGAACUGUCAAGCUAGAGUGCAGGAGAGGAAGGUAGAAUUCCCGGUGUAGCGGUGAAAUGCGUAGAGAUCGGGAGGAAUACCAGUGGCGAAGGCGGCCUUCUGGACUGACACUGACACUGAGGUGCGAAAGCGUGGGUAGCAAACAGGAUUAGAUACCCGAGUAGUC
This 465-nucleotide ribosomal RNA is filed under the name Vreelandella stevensii. RNAcentral describes it as "partial 16S ribosomal RNA". It matches the Rfam family "Bacterial small subunit ribosomal RNA", at positions 338 to 795 of the family's 1533-position model. The record is from RNAcentral. Lineage: Bacteria; Pseudomonadati; Pseudomonadota; Gammaproteobacteria; Oceanospirillales; Halomonadaceae.